This 497-nucleotide ribosomal RNA is filed under the name uncultured bacterium. RNAcentral's name for it is "partial 16S ribosomal RNA". It matches the Rfam family "Bacterial small subunit ribosomal RNA", at positions 28 to 507 of the family's 1533-position model. The record is from RNAcentral.
GAUGAACGCUGGCGGCGUGCUUAAUACAUGCAAGUCGAGCGGACAGACGAGGUGCUUGCUCCUCUGGCGUUAACGGCGGACGGGUGAGUCAUACGUGGCUAACCUACCUCUAAGACUUGGAUAACUUAGGGAAACCGGACUUAAUACCGGAUAUUAUACAGAACAGCAUGGGUCUAUAGUGAAAUACGUUUUUGCUGUCACUUAUGCAUGCAACCGCGCCGCUUUAGCUAUUUUGUAAGAGAACGGCUUACCACGGCAACGAUGCGUAGCGGACCUGAGAGCGAGGACGGCCACACGGGAACUGAGACACGGUCCACACUCCUACGGGAGGCAGCAGUAGGGAAUCUUCCGCAAUGGACGAAAGCCGGACGGAGCAACGCCGCGGGAGUGAUGAAGGUCUUCGGAUCUGAGAGCGCUGUUAUUAUGAAGGAUGAAAAGUGCAUGUAACUAUGCAGGUCUUGACGGUACCUGAAGAAGAAGCCCCGGCUAACUACGUG